Molecule: ribosomal RNA, 489 nt
Filed under: uncultured bacterium
Lineage: Bacteria
Description: partial 16S ribosomal RNA
Rfam family: Bacterial small subunit ribosomal RNA
Source: RNAcentral
UUGAACGCUGGCGGCAGGCCUCACACAUGCAAGUCGAACGGUAACAGGAAGCAGCUUGCUGCUUCGCUGACGAGUGGCGGACGGGUGAGUAAUGUCUGGGAAGCUGCCUGAUGGAGGGGGAUAACUACUGGAAACGGUAGCUAAUACCGCAUAAUGUCGCAAGACCAAAGGGGGGGACCUUCGGGCCUCUUGCCAUCGGAUGUGCCCAGAUGGGAUUAGCUUGUUGGUGGGGUAACGGCUCACCAAGGCGACGAUCCCUAGCUGGUCUGAGAGGAUGACCAGCCACACUGGAACUGAGACACGGUCCAGACUCCUACGGGAGGCAGCAGUGGGGAAUAUUGCACAAUGGGCGCAAGCCUGAUGCAGCCAUGCCGCGUGUAUGAAGAAGGCCUUCGGGCUGUAAAGUACUUUCAGCGGGGAGGAAGGGAGUAAAGUUAAUACCUUUGCUCAUUGACGUUGCCCGCAGAAGAAGCACCGGCUAACUCCGUG